CUGAGUAAAGUGGCGUACGGGUGAGUAACACGUGGAUCAUCUACCCUCUUGUGGGGAAUACCGCUGGGAAACCGGCGACAAUACCGCAUAAGCUCGAGAGAGGAAAGCCGAAAGGCGCUGGAGGAGGAGUCCGCGGUCGAUUAGUUAGUUGGCAGGGUAAAAGCCUACCAAGACUGUGAUCGAUAGCCGGCCUGAGAGGGCACACGGCCACACUGGCACUGAAACACGGGCCAGACUCCUACGGGAGGCAGCAGUGGGGAAUCUUGCACAAUGGGGGAAACCCUGAUGCAGCGACGCCGCGUGAGUGAUGAAGCCCUUCGGGGCGUAAAGCUCUUUCGGCAGGGACGAUUAUGACGGUACCUGCAGAAGCAGCUGCGGCUAACUACGUGCCAGCAGCCGCGGUAAUACGUAGGCAGCAAGCGUUGUUCGGAGUUACUGGGCGUAAAGGGUGCGUAGGCGGCUUUUUAAGUUUGGUGUGAAAUCUCCUGGCUUAACCGGGAGGGUGCGCCGAAUACUGAGAAGCUAGAGUACGGGAGAGGAAAGUGGAAUUCCUGGUGUAGCGGUGAAAUGCGUAGAUAUCAGGAGGAACACCUGUGGUGUAGACGGCUUUCUGGACCGUAACUGACGCUGAGGCACGAAAGCGUGGGUAGCAAACAGGAUUAGAUACCCUGGUAGUCCACGCCCUAAACGAUGCAUAUUUUGGUGUGGGCCAUUCAUUUGGUCUGUGCCGAAGCUAACGCGUUUAAUAUGCCGCCUGGGGAGUACAGUCGCAAGGCUGAAACUCAAAGGAAUUGA
This 795-nucleotide ribosomal RNA is filed under the name uncultured bacterium. Its description in RNAcentral is "bacterial SSU rRNA". It matches the Rfam family "Bacterial small subunit ribosomal RNA", at positions 86 to 913 of the family's 1533-position model. The record is from RNAcentral.